RNAcentral lists this ribosomal RNA (475 nucleotides) under uncultured bacterium. RNAcentral's name for it is "bacterial SSU rRNA". It matches the Rfam family "Bacterial small subunit ribosomal RNA", at positions 28 to 547 of the family's 1533-position model. The record is from RNAcentral.
AACGAACGCUGGCGGCAGGCUUAACACAUGCAAGUCGAACGGUUGUAGCAAUACAGCAGUGGCAGACGGGUGAAUAACACGUGGGAACCUUCCUCGUAGUACGGAACAACUCAGGGAAACUUGAGCUAAUACCGUAUACAUCCGAGAGGAGAAAGAUUUAUCGCUAUGAGACGGGCCCGCGUCCGAUUAGCUAGUUGGUGGGGUAACGGCCUACCAAGGCUACGAUCGGUAGCUGAUCUGAGAGGAUGAUCAGCCACACUGGGACUGAGACACGGCCCAGACUCCUACGGGAGGCAGCAGUGGGGAAUCUUGGACAAUGGGCGAAAGCCUGAUCCAGCCAUGCCGCGUGAGUGAAGAAGGCCUUAGGGUUGUAAAGCUCUUUUGGCAGGGACGAUAAUGACGGUACCUGCAGAAUAAGCCCCGGCAAACUUCGUGCCAGCAGCCGCGGUAAUACGAAGGGGGCUAGCGUUGUUCG